RNAcentral lists this ribosomal RNA (253 nucleotides) under uncultured bacterium. Its description in RNAcentral is "partial 16S ribosomal RNA". It matches the Rfam family "Bacterial small subunit ribosomal RNA", at positions 524 to 776 of the family's 1533-position model. The record is from RNAcentral.
UACGAAGGGUGCAAACGUUGCUCGGAAUCAUUGGGCGUAAAGAGCUCGUAGGCGGUUUGUCACGUCUGCUGUGAAAUCCCGAGGCUCAACCUCGGGCCUGCAGUGGGUACGGGCAGACUGGAGUGCGGUAGGGGAGAAUGGAAUUCCUGGUGUAGCGGUGGAAUGCGCAGAUAUCAGGAGGAACACCGAUGGCGAAGGCAGUUCUCUGGGCCGUAACUGACGCUGAGGAGCGAAAGCGUGGGGAGCGAACAGG